This 917-nucleotide ribosomal RNA is filed under the name Papiliotrema laurentii. Its description in RNAcentral is "LSU rRNA". The stretch from base 1 to 612 matches the Rfam family "Eukaryotic large subunit ribosomal RNA", at positions 62 to 664 of the family's 3401-position model. The record is from RNAcentral. Lineage: Eukaryota; Fungi; Basidiomycota; Tremellomycetes; Tremellales; Rhynchogastremaceae.
CAAUAAAUUGUAUUCCCCUAGUAACGGCGAGUGAACCGGGAAUAGCUCAAAUUUGAAAUCUGGCGUCCUCAGGGCGUCCGAGUUGUAAUCUAUAGAGGCGUUUUCCGUGCCGGACCGUGUCCAAGUUCCUUGGAACAGGAUAUCAAAGAGGGUGACAAUCCCGUACUUGACACGACGACCGGUGCUCUGUGAUACGUCUUCUACGAGUCGAGUUGUUUGGGAAUGCAGCUCAAAAUGGGUGGUGAGUUCCAUCUAAAGCUAAAUAUUGGCGAGAGACCGAUAGCGAACAAGUACCGUGAGGGAAAGAUGAAAAGCACUUUGGAAAGAGAGUUAAACAGUACGUGAAAUUGUUGAAAGGGAAACGAUUGAAGUCAGUCGUGACCGAGAGGCUCAGCCGGCUCUGCCGGUGUAUUCCCCUCGGUCGGGUCAACAUCAGUUUUGUCCGGUGGAUAAGGGCGGUAGGAAGGUGGCACCCUCGGGUGUGUUAUAGCCUGCCGUCGCAUACAUCGGGUGAGACUGAGGAACGCAGCUCGCCUUUAUGGCCGGGGUUCGCCCACGUCCGAGCUUAGGAUGUUGACAUAAUGGCUUUAAACGACCCGUCUUGAAACACGGACCAUAAGUUCAGCGCGUAUUCCUACUUUCUUUGACGUCAGAGUCAAAGGUGCGCAAUGGCGGUUGUACACACACUCACAAGCACGGUGUGACACAUACUCAAGACUCGUGAUCUGGGCGAGCGACUCAUAAGUGCUUUUAGGCGCGCCGGGUACCAGUGCGCGAGUCCAGCGCCACUCGUCCUAGACGCAAGGAAUGACAUUUCAUGACAUCAACAACCUGCCUUCGUAUUCAGAGCAACAGUUCUCAGUCGAACUAGCAUCCGCACUCAUUCGUGUCGGUAUCAUCUCCGACGGAACGAAGUC